UACGUAGGGUGCAAGCGUUAUCCGGAAUGAUUGGGCGUAAAGAGCUCGUAGGCGGUUUGUCGCGUCUGCUGUGAAAACUGGGGGCUCAACCCCCAGCCUGCAGUGGGUACGGGCAGACUAGAGUGCGGUAGGGGAGAUUGGAAUUCCUGGUGUAGCGGUGGAAUGCGCAGAUAUCAGGAGGAACACCGAUGGCGAAGGCAGAUCUCUGGGCCGUAACUGACGCUGAGGAGCGAAAGCAUGGGGAGCGAACAGG
This 253-nucleotide ribosomal RNA is filed under the name uncultured bacterium. RNAcentral's name for it is "partial 16S ribosomal RNA". It matches the Rfam family "Bacterial small subunit ribosomal RNA", at positions 524 to 776 of the family's 1533-position model. The record is from RNAcentral.